AACGAACGCUGGCGGCAGGCCUAACACAUGCAAGUCGAGCGAGGACUUCGGUUCUAGCGGCGGACGGGUGAGUAACGCGUGGGAAUGUGCCCUUCUCUACGGAAUAGCCCUGGGAAACUGGGAGUAAUACCGUAUACGCCCUUUUGGGGAAAGAUUUAUCGGAGAAGGAUCAGCCCGCGUUGGAUUAGGUAGUUGGUGGGGUAAUGGCCUACCAAGCCGACGAUCCAUAGCUGGUUUGAGAGGAUGAUCAGCCACACUGGGACUGAGACACGGCCCAGACUCCUACGGGAGGCAGCAGUGGGGAAUCUUAGACAAUGGGGGCAAACCUGAUCGAGCCAUGCCGCGUGAGUGAUGAAGGCCUUAGGGUUGUAAAGCUCUUUCAGCUGGGAAGAUAAUGACGGUACCAGCAGAAGAAGCCCCGGCUAACUCCGUG
Molecule: ribosomal RNA, 433 nt
Filed under: uncultured bacterium
Lineage: Bacteria
Description: partial 16S ribosomal RNA
Rfam family: Bacterial small subunit ribosomal RNA
Source: RNAcentral